AUCUUUGCUUCCAGUGGUUAGGACAUCGUCUUUUCAUGUCGAAGACCCGGUUUCGAAUCCCGUAAGGGAUA
Molecule: transfer RNA, 71 nt
Filed under: Rhododendron molle
Lineage: Eukaryota; Viridiplantae; Streptophyta; Magnoliopsida; Ericales; Ericaceae
Description: tRNA-Glu
Source: RNAcentral